Long non-coding RNA from Bufo gargarizans (Asiatic toad), 716 nucleotides. RefSeq lists it as uncharacterized. NCBI's taxonomy places the organism in Eukaryota, Metazoa, Chordata, Amphibia, Anura, Bufonidae. The record is from RefSeq and is a predicted model, not a curated record. The transcript is spliced from 4 exons.
AGAAAGUCAGAAGAAUGAACGUUCCAGGAUUGUUAUUACCAGAAAUGCAAUGAUUUAGUAAAUCUCACCUGUUCUCGGAGUAUCUGGCGCAAUGUAUCUACAGCAUCGGCUUUCUUGGUAUGCAUAAGUAUACACACCCUUCAAAGACCCCAUUGAACUGGCACUUGCACUGUUUUCCUCCAGGAUGAAGGUCGAUGACUCCGAUUCUGGAUAAUAAUGAAGACAGAACAUCUCCAGCGACGCCAGCUCGUUCUGAGAGCAGCCGGAAGGAGGCCAUUACAAGGCGAAGCGAGGCGUCAUCCGACAACCACCCACCCGCUGUCUGGCGACUUCCUAAACAGACAGGACAUGCGAGGCAGCGCCAAGGAACCCGAAACACAGAAACCAAGAUAUGUAUCACCGGGCGCCAGGGUGGAACACACUGCUGCUGGACUGCGAGGAAAUUGAGAAUUUGCCGGAGACGGUGCGCGCCCGCCAGACACACAGAUGGGCUCUGCCGCUGGAUCGGUGGCACUCGGCUGAAUCCUUAUCCACAGUAUCACUUCACGAUAGGUUACAUAAGGUGACACAGUCAUACACAAUGAUAAAGCCGUAGCAAUGAUGGGGUCCUUGGGGUUGGCGUUACCCCCAUACGUUUUGCAUGAGCUUGAAACUGCUUUGUUUUCUUACAUGGUGGAACAGCAAGUCCCAGCAUCUCCUGACCAGGGAUGAGAAGG